GCAAGUCGAACGGCAGCGCGGGGAGCUUGCUCCCUGGCGGCGAGUGGCGAACGGGUGAGUAAUGCUUGGGAAUCUGCCCUGUAGUGGGGGACAACCCGGGGAAACUCGGGCUAAUACCGCAUACGUCCUACGGGAGAAAGGGGGCUUCGGCUCUCGCGCUAUAGGAUGAGCCCAAGUCGGAUUAGCUAGUUGGUGGGGUAAAAGCCUACCAAGGCAACGAUCCGUAGCUGGUCUGAGAGGACGAUC
RNAcentral lists this ribosomal RNA (246 nucleotides) under uncultured bacterium. Its description in RNAcentral is "partial 16S ribosomal RNA". It matches the Rfam family "Bacterial small subunit ribosomal RNA", at positions 57 to 305 of the family's 1533-position model. The record is from RNAcentral.